RNAcentral lists this long non-coding RNA (2512 nucleotides) under Nicotiana benthamiana. RNAcentral's name for it is "long non-coding RNA (NBEN_LNC022622)". The stretch from base 195 to 265 matches the Rfam family "MIR6151 microRNA precursor family". Lineage: Eukaryota; Viridiplantae; Streptophyta; Magnoliopsida; Solanales; Solanaceae. The record is from RNAcentral.
AAGAACACGCGAGCCCAGCCCCAAAUUUCGUCCCAAAAAUCGCCAAAAUUCACGCGAGUGUGCAUCAAGCCCUAACCCACGCGUCAUUCUAUCUCUUCUCUUGCUGUUGCUAACGGUUUCUGAUGCCAAGAUUCCUCCUCCUCCCACUCACUCGAAUUCGAGUUUAAACACGUGAUUGGAAGGGUCUGGAAGACGAAUGCUGGAUGAGUGUGAGGCGUUGGAUUGAUUUCACUCAAUCUGAGCCCCACAUUCAUCAAGGAUGGGUCUUCAAAAUAGAUUUUAUCCAAUUUCGUGAGCGGGGUCUGAUAAUUUCGGAGAGGAAAAAAGGGUUCUAGGGUUCUUUGCUUUCCUUCUUUUGAAUCUGGUAAUGCAUUUUCAGAAAAGAAAAAUACAAAAAAAUAGUUUUUGUUUGAUUUUUGUUCGAGUUUCAUUUCAGGAGAAAUUAGAAAAUCACCAAAGAUUUCCAUAUUUGCUUGAUUUUGGUUCUUAAAAUGGAGUUCGAUUAAAAGUUGCUGAGUUCGUCGCUGUCCAAACUUCUGAUUGCUGCUCGUCUUUGCUACUGGUUUGGCUGUGCUCCGAGACUUGACCUGCUGUUAUUGUACUGCUGAAAGUUUGGAGUCGAAACUGUGUAAUCGCCUUCGAUUUUGUUAUCAAAAGAAGUUCGAAAUUUCAGGUUCAGUCUUCAUCUGUUGUGCUUGCAAUUCUGUUUCGUUUCAGUAUUUUUUUUUAGCUAUGAGAUUCAGUCCAGGGUGAUUUGUUUGUGUUAUGAUCGAUUUUUUUGUGGACUGAGUCUGUUCUCAGUAAUGGUAUGUGUUUGAGUACAUGGUAUGGAUUCUUGAAGAUGUCACACUACUAUUGUUUUAAGUCAACUGGCAUGCUUGAUUUGCAAAGCUAUCCUGUUAUGUCUGUUUAUUCUGUUAGCAUAAGCAUGUUCUGACUGGAUCGAGAUGGUAUGGAUUCUUGAAGAUGUCACAGUACUGUUGUUUCAAGUCGACUGGCCUGCUUAAUGAUUUGCAAAGCUAUCCUGUUAUGUCUGUUUAUUCUGUUAGCAUAAGCAUGUUCUGACUGGGAAUUUGAGACAUGGUUUUGCUUUGAUUCUAAACAUGAUAGUGUUGGUUUCUGUUUGAAUAAGCUCUCAUUAGAAGGAUGUCGGAGUUUUUUUUUUGCUCAUUAGUCGAUUAGCUCGAGCAUGCUAGAGUUCGUCUUGUGCGCUUAAAGCAAUCUAGCGUUUGAAGCUAUCCUCAUCAUUUUACUGUUAGCAACUUAGUAAAGUUCUAAUGUUUGAGGUUCUGAUGUUCAGAUUGUUGAAUCAAAAUCUUGUCCAUCUAAGUUUGGAAACAAAUCUCUUGUCAACUGUCUGAGGCUUUAACAUUUUGCUCCAAGUUCAUUCAAAUGCAAGACCCUCUUCUGUUGCAACCUUUGAGUCAUAUGUGUUGCGUUUGUGAUGUUCUGCCCCAAGUUUAUAACGUGAUUUGAAAGAGUGUCUCAUGAUUUCUUUUGCUGAAACUUCAUUCAUGUGUGUGUGCCAUCUCUAGUCUGCUUUUUUUUUUAAAAAAAAGAAAAGAAAAGAAGUGAAAAUAGAAGCAUUAUUGUUGGGCUGAAUCUGUUGAAGUUCCCUAUUGAUAAUAUUUGUUCUUUAUGGUUCACCAUGUUUGAGGGGAUUAAGUGAAUGCUCAUGUUUCCGGCUCCAUGCUCGAUUACUCCCUGUUAAGGAUGUGUUCAGUAAUUAGUUGGUUCAUGACUAGUUCGAUGAGCGUUUGAUAUUUGAAGUGUUUGUGUGUCUGGUUCUUAUGGUACUAUCAAGGUGAGGUCGUCUAGUGUUCAUGACUGGUUCGAUGUGUGUUUGAUAUUUGAAGUGUUUAUGUCUGGUUCUUAUGGUACUAUCGAGGUGAGGUCGUCUAGUCUCAUUGUUUGGUUGCUUUGUGGCUAGCAUCUUGUCUUGUUUCACCUUGAGAGGAUCAUGUGAGUUCAUUCGUGGUUAUAAUUUGUGAAGAUAUUGAAGUAAUUUGAAGCAUGAUUAGAACGAAUAUUGACGAAAAGGUCACUCUAGAACACACACUGGUUUUCUCUGAAGGUUUCUUUCAAAAUAUGAUGAUUUCUUAGUUUGAUACACUGACUUUAGCAAAGAAAAGGAAUUCUCUGAAGACCCGGAAGUGGAUUUUAGUGUGUGUUCGUCUACUUCAUGAUUUCUGGAUUUUCGUUUGAUUCUGGGGCUUAAAUGAAGCUGUGUAACUGAUUUUGCAUUGCCGAACUCCUCUCAUCUUCACAUUCUCCCUUUACUUGGCUGAUGACGCUUCUGUUUAUGUGGAUUACAACUAGAUACACAUUAAGCCGCAUUGUGUUCAUGUUGGUUUUUGUGCAAUUAUUGGAAUGAAUCAACUUUGAAAUAUGAUUGAUAGUGGUUUUAUUAUAUAAUCCACUUGCUACUACUGUAAGUUGUAUUUCUAAAUAUCAAUGCACCAGUUCUAUUCUGAAGCUCAUUAUGUGUUAGCCUUCAUACUUUUUUGUCUUU